Molecule: ribosomal RNA, 253 nt
Filed under: uncultured bacterium
Lineage: Bacteria
Description: partial 16S ribosomal RNA
Rfam family: Bacterial small subunit ribosomal RNA
Source: RNAcentral
UACGUAGGGCGCAAGCGUUAUCCGGAAUUAUUGGGCGUAAAGAGCUCGUAGGCGGUUUGUCGCGUCUGCCGUGAAAGUCCGGGGCUUAACUCCGGAUCUGCGGUGGGUACGGGCAGACUAGAGUGCAGUAGGGGAGACUGGAAUUCCUGGUGUAGCGGUGAAAUGCGCAGAUAUCAGGAGGAACACCGAUGGCGAAGGCACGUCUCUGGGCUGUAACUGACGCUGAGGAGCGAAAGCAUGGGGAGCGAACAGG